Molecule: ribosomal RNA, 216 nt
Filed under: Glomeromycotina sp.
Lineage: Eukaryota; Fungi; Glomeromycota
Description: partial small subunit ribosomal RNA
Rfam family: Eukaryotic small subunit ribosomal RNA (bases 40-216)
Source: RNAcentral
GGGUCAGUAGGUUGGUCGUGCCACCGGUACGUACUGGUCUCACUGAUUCCUCCUUCCUGAAGAACCGUAAUGCCAUUAAUUUGGUGUUGCGGGGUAACAGGACUGUUACUUUGAAAAAAUUAGAGUGUUUAAAGCAAGCUAACGCUUGAAUACAUUAGCAUGGAAUAAUGAAUUAGGACGAUCGAUCCUAUUUUGUUGGUUUCUAGGAUUGACGUA